Molecule: ribosomal RNA, 444 nt
Filed under: uncultured bacterium
Lineage: Bacteria
Description: SSU rRNA
Rfam family: Bacterial small subunit ribosomal RNA
Source: RNAcentral
AGAACGAACGCUGGCGGCAGGCCUAACACAUGCAAGUCGAACGCCGUAGCAAUACGGAGUGGCAGACGGGUGAGUAACACGUGGGAACAUACCCUUCGGUUCGGGAUAACUCAGGGAAACUUGAGCUAAUACCGGAUACGUCCGCGAGGAGAAAGAUUCAUCGCCGGAGGAUUGGCCCGCGUCCGAUUAGCUUGUUGGUGAGGUAACGGCUCACCAAGGCGACGAUCGGUAGCUGGUCUGAGAGGAUGAUCAGCCACACUGGGACUGAGACACGGCCCAGACUCCUACGGGAGGCAGCAGUGGGGAAUAUUGGACAAUGGGCGCAAGCCUGAUCCAGCCAUGCCGCGUGAGUGAUGAAGGCCUUAGGGUUGUAAAGCUCUUUCAUCAGGGACGAUAAUGACGGUACCUGAAGAAGAAGCCCGGCUAACUCGCGCCAGCAGCCGC